Molecule: ribosomal RNA, 447 nt
Filed under: uncultured Desulfobulbus sp.
Lineage: Bacteria; Pseudomonadati; Thermodesulfobacteriota; Desulfobulbia; Desulfobulbales; Desulfobulbaceae
Description: bacterial SSU rRNA
Rfam family: Bacterial small subunit ribosomal RNA
Source: RNAcentral
UGUGGUUUAAUUCGAUGCAACGCGAAGAACUUACCUGGUCUUGACAUCCCGGAGACCCUUAGGAAACUAGGGGGUGCUUCCAUCUGGAAGAAUCUGGAGACAGGUGCUGCAUGGCUGUCGUCAGCUCGUGUCGUGAGAUGUUGGGUUAAGUCCCGCAACGAGCGCAGCCCUUGCCUUUAGUUGCCAGCAGUUCGGCUGGGCACUCUAAAGGGACUGCCGGUGUUAAACCGGAGGAAGGUGGGGAUGACGUCAAGUCCUCAUGGCCUUUAUGACCAGGGCUACACACGUACUACAAUGGCCGAUACAAAGGGCAGCGACACUGCGGGGUGAAGCCAAUCCCGUAAAAUCGGUCUCAGUCCGGAUUGGAGUCUGCAACUCGACUCCAUGAAGUUGGAAUCGCUAGUAAUCGUGGAUCAGCAUGCCACGGUGAAUACGUUCCCGGGCCUU